RNAcentral lists this ribosomal RNA (3458 nucleotides) under Colletotrichum acutatum. RNAcentral describes it as "eukaryotic LSU rRNA". The stretch from base 300 to 3358 matches the Rfam family "Eukaryotic large subunit ribosomal RNA". Lineage: Eukaryota; Fungi; Ascomycota; Sordariomycetes; Glomerellales; Glomerellaceae. The record is from RNAcentral.
ACUUUUAACAAGGAUCUUUGGUUCUGGCAUCGAUGAAGAACGCAGCGAAAUGCGAUAAGUAAUGUGAAUUGCAGAAUUCAGUGAAUCAUCGAAUUUUUGAACGCACAUUGCGCUCGCCAGAUUCUGGCGAGCAUGCUGUUCGAGCGUCAUUUCAACCUCAAGCACCGCUUGGUUUUGGGCCCCACGGACACGUGGCCCUUAAAGUAGUGGCGGACCCUCCGGAGCCUCCUUUGCGUAUAACUAACGUCUCGCACUGGGAUCGAGGGACUCUUGCGUAAAACCCCCAAAUUUUUUACAGUUGACCUCGAUCAGGUAGAAUACCCGCUGAACUUAAGCAUAUCAAUAAGCGGAGGAAAAGAAACAACAGGGAUUGCCCCAGUAACGGGAGUGAAGCGGCAACAGCUCAAAUUUGAAAUCUGCCCCAGGCCCGAGUUGUAAUUUGCAGAGGAUGCUUUUGGCGCGGUGCUUCCGAGUUCCCUGGAACGGGACGCCAUAGAGGUGAGAGCCCGUACGGUUGGACACCAAGCCUUUGUAAAGCUCCUUCGACGAGUCGAGUAUUUGGAAUGCUGCUCUAAAUGGAGGUACAUUUCUUCUAAACUAAAUAUUGGCCAGAACCGAUAGCGCACAAGUAGAGUGAUCGAAAGAUGAAAAGCACUUUGAAAAAGGGUUAAACAGCACGUGAAAUUGUUAAAAGGGAAGCGCUUGUAACCAACUUGCGUCGGUGAAUCACCCAGCUCUCGCGGCUGGGGCACUUCGCCGGCACAGGCCAGCAUCAGCUUGCCGUCGGGACAAAAGCUUCAGGAACGUGGCUCUCUCGGGAGUGUUAUAGCCUGUUGCACAAUACCCUUCGGCGGGCUGAGGUACGCGCUCGCAAGGAUGCUGGCGUAAUGGUCAUCAGCGACCCGUCUUGAAACACGGACCAAGGAGUCAACCUUAUGUGCGAGUGUUUGGGUGUCAAACCCCUACGCGUAAUGAAAGUGAACGCAGGUGAGAGCUUCGGCGAAUCAUCGACCGAUUCUGAUGUUCUCGGAUGGAUUUGAGUAAGAGCAUAUAGGGUUGGACCCGAAAGAAGGUGAACUAUGCGUGUGUAGGUGAAGCCAGAAAACUUGGUGGAGGCUCGCAGCGGUUCUGACGUGCAAAUCGAUCGUCAAACAUGCGCAUGGGGCGAAAGACUAAUCGAACUUCUAGUAGCUGGUUUCCGCCGAAGUUUCCCUCAGGAUAGCAGUGUUGAGCUCAGUUUUAUAGGUAAAGCGAAUGAUUAGGGACUCGGGGGCUAUUUUUUGCCUUCAUCCAUUUUAAACUUUAAAUAUGUAAGAAGCCCUUGUUACUUAGUUAAUUAAGUAUUCGAAUGUAUUAACACUAGUGGCCAUUUUUGUAAGCAAACUGGCGAUACGGGAUGAACGAACGCGAGGUUAAGUGCCAAAAUAGUCGCUCAUCAAACAAAAAAGUUUAGUACAUUUUACAGCAGGACGGUGGCAUGGAAGUCGAAUCCGCUAAGGACUAUGUAAUAACUACUUACUGAAUUACUAGCCUGAAAAUGGAUGGUCUCAAGCGACUUACCCAUACCUCGCCCUCAGUGUAGAAACGAUGCGCUGAGGAGUAGGCGGACGUGGAGGUCAGUGACGAAGCCUAGGGCGUGAGCCCGGGUAGAACGGCCUCUAGUGCAGAUCUUGGUGGUAGUAGCAAAUACUUCAAUGAGAACUUGAAGGACCGAAGUGGGGAAAGGUUCCAUGUGAACAGCGGUUGGACAUGGGUUAGUCGAUCCUAAACCAUAGGGAAGUUCCGUUUCAAAGGGGCACUUGUGCCCCCCGUGGUGAAAGGGAAGCCGGUCAAAUUCCGGCACCUGGAUGUGGGUUUUGCGCGGCAACGCAACUGAACGCGGAGACGACGGCGGGGGCCCCGGGCAGAAAAUUCUUUUUUUUUUUUUAAUAAUUUACCCUGAAAAAAUUUGUUCCGGAGCUACUAAAGUUUAAUAAUUAAAGCCCAGCACUUCUGUUGGGUCCGGUGCGCUCUCGACGUCCCUUGAAAAUCCGCAUAAAAAAAAUAAUCUCACGCCAGGUUAUACUUAUAACCAUAAUAAGUCUCUAAAAUAAAUAGCUUUUAGUUAAUAAAAUAAUAUAAAUAAAAAAAGUUAGUAAAAUAAAUCUAUAAUUUCGGGAUAAGGAUUAACUCUAAAAAUUAAGUACGUUAAGUUUUAAAUAAAUAGCUUAAGAAUAGGUCGCUAUUAGCUAAGUAACUAGCUAAAAGUUUCUAAUACUUAGGUUCUAACGCCCCUUAAUAAGCUUUGGUUAUUUAGUAUAUAGUUAAUAACUAAUUUAGAACUAAUAUAAAUAAAAAAAAUCUAACUAUUUAAUUAAAAUAUAAUAUUACGAUAGCUAGAAAAUAAUAUUAACGUAAUAUAAUUUCUACCUAGUACUCUAAAUAUUAAAAUAAAAAAAUUUAACUAAGCGCAAGUAAAUAGCGGAAAUAACUAUAACUCUUUUAAAGUAACUAAAUACCUCGUUAUUUAAUUAAUAACGCAUAUAAAUAAAUUAAUAAAAUUCUUAUUAUCCCUAUUUACUAUCUAACAAACUAUAGCUAAAGAACAGGCUUAAUAAAAUUAGUAAAAUAAAAGACCUUAUUAAGCUUAACUCUAAUUUAAUAUUAUAAAAAAAUAUAAGAGGUAUAAAUAAUAAGAGCUUUAGUACUAGUAAAAUACUACUAUUCUUAUUAUUUUUUUACUUAUUUAAUAAAGCGGGACUAAAUUUAUAUCUAAUUUCUAGUUUUAAAAUCCUUAUAAGCUAACCCGGAUUAAAAAUAUUAUUAAAUAAAGAGUUUAGCUAGGGCAGUAAUUUAUUAAUUAUAAUAUAAGUAUUUUAAAGGGGGCUUAUAAAAAUAGAAAUCUUUAAUAAAAUAAAAAAGUAAAAGUCCCCUUAAUUUUAAUUUUUAAUAUAAACAUAAACUAUAAAAAUAUAACCUAUCGAUCCUUUAGUCCCUUAAAAUUUAAAGCUAAAAGUACUAAAAAAUUAUUAUAAAAAUAACUAGCUUAUAGUAGCUAAGCGUUUAUAAUAAUAUCGCUUUUUAAUCCUUUAAUAUUAGCUCUUUUUAUUAUACUAAAAUAAAUUUAAUAAGUAUUAAAUUAUUUACUUACUAAUAAAGAACGUAAACUAAGUUUAAACCGUCAUAAAAUAGGUUAGUUUUACUUUAUUAAUAACCUUAUCAUAAUAAUAAUUAAACUUAGUAUAAAAAAAACCGCUUAUUUAAAUAAUUAGUUUUUAUAACUAUUUAACUAGGUAAUAUUAUAAUAUUAUUAUUUACUAAAUAAUAACUAAACGCCUCUAAAUUAAAAUCUAUACUAAAACGCAACGAUACCUCCCGCAUAUAUAAAUAAAUAUAAAUAAGCUCUAGCUUAGCAUCUUAGUAAGUAAUUCCUCUACUACUCUCAAAAUAAAUAAUAAUAUUUUAUAAAUUAUAAUUUU